Molecule: long non-coding RNA, 525 nt
Filed under: Lepisosteus oculatus (spotted gar)
Lineage: Eukaryota; Metazoa; Chordata; Actinopteri; Semionotiformes; Lepisosteidae
Description: lncRNA (ENSLOCG00000021773.1)
Source: RNAcentral
AUUCCACAUGGAAUGAGCAAGGAAGUAGCAUAGGUCCUAUGCAGCCAACGCACCCUGAUGCAGCUCUCCACUUUGGGAUGAAGGAUUCUAUUGGGUGGUACACCGGGGUCAAAGGUUGUGUGCAGUUAGUUGUUAAAGUAAAGCUAUGCCCGUUGCAAAAGAUUAAGAGGAUCUCGCCUUCUCUUUUGUAUGAAAGCAAAAGCCAUUUUUCAUGGAAGAGGGAAUUCAUUAUUUUCACCCCCACUCUCCCAACUGAUGACAGGACACCAAUCCAAGACCUUCAGGUUUGACUUCGGCCUUCACCCAGGUGUCUGUUAUUCUGUGGUGAAAGGAAAUUCCUGCGUCUCCAGCUAACGCUAAUCAGGGAUAAAAAAUAAAUCUCGAGGCGAUGGGCUGUCUGUUCUCCAGCAGCGCCUGAUGAAAAAUCUUCUUUACAAAUUCCUGGGUUUAUUAGUCGACAGGUCAUUUGCUAUAUAACUCAACAUGUCAUGGGCUGAUCCUCGCUGAUAAUCAGCCGAGUAUUUC